UUGAACGCUGGCGGAAUGCUUUACACAUGCAAGUCGAGCGGCAGCGCGGGGGCAACCCUGGCGGCGAGCGGCGAACGGGUGAGUAAUGUAUCGGAACGUACCCUGUCGUGGGGGAUAACACAGCGAAAGCUGUGCUAAUACCGCAUACGACCUGAGGGUGAAAGCGGGGGAUCGCAAGACCUCGCGCGAUAGGAGCGGCCGAUAUCGGAUUAGCUAGUUGGUGAGGUAAAGGCUCACCAAGGCGACGAUCCGUAGCGGGUCUGAGAGGACGACCCGCCACACUGGAACUGAGACACGGUCCAGACUCCUACGGGAGGCAGCAGUGGGGAAUUUUGGACAAUGGGGGCAACCCUGAUCCAGCCAUUCCGCGUGAGUGAAGAAGGCCUUCGGGUUGUAAACCGCUUUUGUCAGGGAAGAAACGCCUUGAGAUAAUACCUCGGGGUAAUGACGGUACCUGAAGAAUAAGCACCGGCUAACUACGU
RNAcentral lists this ribosomal RNA (482 nucleotides) under uncultured bacterium. RNAcentral's name for it is "bacterial SSU rRNA". It matches the Rfam family "Bacterial small subunit ribosomal RNA", at positions 29 to 506 of the family's 1533-position model. The record is from RNAcentral.